UUUCUUUCUUUCUUUAGGGCCCGAGCGUAGCUGCUAAGCAGCUGCGAGAGCCCUCUUGUUCCUGCAUGUUUCCUUCUUUUGUUAUUAGGGCCCGAGCGUAGCUGCUAAGCAGCUGCGAGAGCCCUAUUAUUCCCCAAGUGGUUUUUCUUUGUUUCUUUUUUCUUUUUCCUCCCCUUUGAACUGGAAAAUGGCCCACUUCCCACUGGCGAAAACUCAUGAAAUUUGGCAGGACGACCGGGCCUGGUGAAAAAUUUGAUAUUCCGAAGUCGCCCAAACAAGAAAAUGCAAAAUGGCUCCAUAGCGCCCCCUAAGGUGAAAAUUCACAC
Molecule: long non-coding RNA, 326 nt
Filed under: Xyrichtys novacula (pearly razorfish)
Lineage: Eukaryota; Metazoa; Chordata; Actinopteri; Labriformes; Labridae
Source: RNAcentral